AAACCAACCGGGAUUGCCUUAGUAACGGCGAGUGAAGCGGCAAAAGCUCAAAUUUGAAAUCUGGUACCUUCGGUGCCCGAGUUGUAAUUUGGAGAGGGCAACUUUGGGGCCGUUCCUUGUCUAUGUUCCUUGGAACAGGACGUCAUAGAGGGUGAGAAUCCCGUGUGGCGAGGAGUGCGGUUCUUUGUAAAGUGCCUUCGAAGAGUCGAGUUGUUUGGGAAUGCAGCUCUAAGUGGGUGGUAAAUUCCAUCUAAAGCUAAAUAUUGGCGAGAGACCGAUAGCGAACAAGUACAGUGAUGGAAAGAUGAAAAGAACUUUGAAAAGAGAGUGAAAAAGUACGUGAAAUUGUUGAAAGGGAAGGGCAUUUGAUCAGACAUGGUGUUUUGUGCCCUCUGCUCCUUGUGGGUAGGGGAAUCUCGCAUUUCACUGGGCCAGCAUCAGUUUUGGUGGCAGGAUAAAUCCAUAGGAAUGUAGCUUGCCUCGGUAAGUAUUAUAGCCUGUGGGAAUACUGCCAGCUGGGACUGAGGACUGCGACGUAAGUCAAGGAUCGCCGUUU
This 556-nucleotide ribosomal RNA is filed under the name Saccharomyces cerevisiae (brewer's yeast). RNAcentral describes it as "LSU rRNA". It matches the Rfam family "Eukaryotic large subunit ribosomal RNA", at positions 62 to 621 of the family's 3401-position model. Lineage: Eukaryota; Fungi; Ascomycota; Saccharomycetes; Saccharomycetales; Saccharomycetaceae. The record is from RNAcentral.